AUAAACACGAUGAUUAGGAGUAUUAAGGAACAUUAUUGUAUAGAGAGCUGCCGUUUGCUGAGAGGUGGUCAAUAAUUUCCCCAACUCGCCUAGGAGUGGUUAGACUGAUAUGUAGGUCUAAACGGUUUGCUUCCGUAAAGGAGCAUUUGAGAAGGUUUGCUAGUUAUUAUGAUAGACAAACCAAGAAGAGUGGUACCACGUUACGGUUAAUCCUAUCGUCUCUUUA
RNAcentral lists this non-coding RNA (226 nucleotides) under Evansella cellulosilytica. RNAcentral describes it as "Bacillus cellulosilyticus T-box sequence". It matches the Rfam family "T-box leader". From Rfam's summary of the family: Uncharged tRNA acts as the effector for transcription antitermination of genes in the T-box leader family. T-boxes are found upstream of many aminoacyl-tRNA synthetase genes and some amino acid biosynthetic genes usually in Gram-positive bacteria. The record is from RNAcentral. Lineage: Bacteria; Bacillati; Bacillota; Bacilli; Caryophanales; Bacillaceae.